UACAGAGGUCUCGAGCGUUAGGCGGAAUCACUGGGCUUAAAGCGUGUGUAGGCGGACUGGUAAGUACCUUGUGAAAUCCCACGGCUCAACCGUGGAACUGCUGGGUAUACUGCUUGUCUUGUGCAACCUAGGGGCGAGCGGAACAGAUGGUGGAGCGGUGAAAUGCGUAGAUAUCAUCUGGAACGCCAAUGGUGAAAACAGCUCGCUGGGGGUUUGCAGACGCUGAGACACGAAAGCCAGGGGAGCGGACGGG
This 253-nucleotide ribosomal RNA is filed under the name uncultured bacterium. RNAcentral describes it as "partial 16S ribosomal RNA". It matches the Rfam family "Bacterial small subunit ribosomal RNA", at positions 524 to 776 of the family's 1533-position model. The record is from RNAcentral.